AAACAAUAUAUUUUUUUGUCAAAUUAUUUAACAAAUAUAUAAAAAACUAUGUCAUUCACACUUUUAAAGAAAUUUGCUCUACUUACAAGUUUUAAAGAAAUUACCUUGAUAAUCUCUAGAAUUGAAAAAUCGUUGAAAGAAAAGAUAAGAUGAAAGAAAAAUAUUUGAUUAAACAACACUUUCUCCGUCCCACGAAUUCACUUAAUAAAUAAAAAAUUAUGUCAUUCACUAACAAAGUGUUGAUCUACUUAAAAUUUUUAAAGAAAUUACCUUGCUGUUAAUCUUUAGAAAUGAAAAAUCGCUAAAAGAAAAAAGAAGCUGAAAAAAAAAAGUUUCAGAAAAUAAUAGUGUGCCUCGUGUUGCCAUGAUAAAUAAAUCGCAAAAAUAAUUAGAAAUGAAAAAUCGCUAAAGAAAAAAAGAAGCUGAAAAAAAAAUCGCAAAAAUUUGCUACAAGUAGGAUUCGAUCACAGAUAAACAAAGUCCAAAAAA
This 489-nucleotide long non-coding RNA is filed under the name Salvia miltiorrhiza (redroot sage). RNAcentral's name for it is "long non-coding RNA (SMIL_LNC003587)". Lineage: Eukaryota; Viridiplantae; Streptophyta; Magnoliopsida; Lamiales; Lamiaceae. The record is from RNAcentral.